AGCAGUAUUGAACUGAAGAGUUUGAUCAUGGCUCAGAUUGAACGCUGGCGCAGGCCUAACACAUGCAAGUCGAGCGGAUGAAGGGAGCUUGCUCCUGGAUUCAGCGGCGGACGGGUGAGUAAUGCCUAGGAAUCUGCCUGGUAGUGGGGGAUAACGUCCGGAAACGGGCGCUAAUACCGCAUACGUCCUGAGGGAGA
This 197-nucleotide ribosomal RNA is filed under the name Pseudomonas aeruginosa. RNAcentral describes it as "partial 16S ribosomal RNA". It matches the Rfam family "Bacterial small subunit ribosomal RNA", at positions 1 to 189 of the family's 1533-position model. The record is from RNAcentral. Lineage: Bacteria; Pseudomonadati; Pseudomonadota; Gammaproteobacteria; Pseudomonadales; Pseudomonadaceae.